RNAcentral lists this ribosomal RNA (438 nucleotides) under uncultured bacterium. Its description in RNAcentral is "bacterial SSU rRNA". It matches the Rfam family "Bacterial small subunit ribosomal RNA", at positions 26 to 507 of the family's 1533-position model. The record is from RNAcentral.
AGAACGAACGCUGGCGGCAGGCUUAACACAUGCAAGUCGAACGCUCGUAGCAAUACGGGAGUGGCGGUCGGGUGAGUAACGCGUGGGAACGUGCCCUGAGGUACGGAAUAACUGAGGGAAACUUCAGCUAAUACCGUAUGAGCCCGAGAGGGGGAAAGAUUUAUCGCCUUGGGAGCGGCCCGCGUCGGAUUAGCUAGUUGGUGGGGUAACGGCCUACCAAGGCUUCGAUCCGUAGCUGGUCUGAGAGGACGAUCAGCCACACUGGGACUGAGACACGGCCCAGACUCCUACGGGAGGCAGCAGUGGGGAAUCUUGCGCAAUGGGGGCAACCCUGACGCAGCCAUGCCGCGUGAACGAUGAAGGCCUUAGGGUUGUAAAGUUCUUUUACCCGUGACGAUGAUGACGGUAACGGGGGAAUAAGCUCCGGCUAACUUCGUG